GCAAGUCGAGCGAGAAAGCCCUCGGGUGAGUAGAGCGGCGGAAGGGUGAGUAACGCGUGGGAAUCUACCGAGUAGUGGGGGACAACAGUUGGAAACGGCUGCGAAUACCGCAUACGCCCUACGGGGGAAAGCAGGGGAUCUUCGGACCUUGCGCUAUUUGAUGAGCCCGCGUUAGAUUAGCUAGAUGGUAGGGUAAAGGCCUACCAUGGCGACGAUCUAUAGCUGGUCUGAGAGGAUGAUC
This 241-nucleotide ribosomal RNA is filed under the name uncultured bacterium. RNAcentral describes it as "partial 16S ribosomal RNA". It matches the Rfam family "Bacterial small subunit ribosomal RNA", at positions 57 to 305 of the family's 1533-position model. The record is from RNAcentral.